This 2284-nucleotide long non-coding RNA is filed under the name Equus caballus (horse). Its description in RNAcentral is "lncRNA (ENSECAG00000052614.1)". Lineage: Eukaryota; Metazoa; Chordata; Mammalia; Perissodactyla; Equidae. The record is from RNAcentral.
AUUCUCUCUUUAUCUUUAAUGCUUGACAUUUUAAUUAUAAUGUGUCUUAGUGUGUGCCUCUUUGAGUUUAUCUGGUCUGGUACUCUCUGUGCUUCCUGUACUUGGAUUUCUGUUUACUUCCUGAGGUUGGGAAAAUUUUCAGCUGUUAUUUCUUUGAAUACAUUCUCUGCCUUUUAUCUCUCUCUUCUGCUUCUGAGACACCUGUAAGAUGGAUGUUUGUGUGCUUGAUGUUGUUCCAGAAGUAUCUUAGACUAUCCUUGUUCUUCUUAAUUAUUUUUUCCUUUAUCUGUUCAUCUUGGGUGAUUUCCUCUAGUCUUUCAUCCAGUUUGCUGAUCUGUUCUUCUGUAUCAUCUACUCUGCUAAUGAUAGCCUCUAGUGAAUUGUUCAUUUCCAGGAUUGUAUUCUUCAUUUCUGAUUGGUUCUUUUUUAUAUUUUCCAAUUUUUUGUUGAAGUUCUCACUAAGUUCAUCCAUUCUUCUCCCAAGGUCAGUGAGCAUUGUUAUGACUUUUCAUUUGAGCUCUUUGUCAGGUAGAUUGUUUAUUUUUUUUCAUUUAGUUCUUUUUCUUGCUGUUUUCCUGUUCCCUUACUUGGAAUGUAUUCAUUUUCAUCCUCAUUUUGCCUCUUUCUCUAUUCUUAUAUCAAUUUAUUAGGUAAGUCAGCUAUGUCUCCUGAUCUUGGAGAGGUGGCCUUAUGUUAGAGAUGCUGUAUGAGGCCCAGCAGUGUGCUUCCCUCUCAUCACCAGUGCCAAGUGUUCUAGUGGUGACUCCUGUGUGUCCUCCUGUUGUGUCAGGGUUGCUCUUGCUGCAGGUGCCCAGGGAGGCUAGGCUGUUCCCCUGGCCAAUUGGUUGUAAUGUUCUGCUGUGUGUAACUGCUAUGGGCCCUUCAGUCCCUUUAUCAUUCAUGGGGUGCCCCAGCACAGUUGGCUGCAAAGUCUAACAGCACAUUCAUGUUGUAGUUUUUCUGUUAAAUGACUAGGCCUCCAGAAUGGCUGAUUGCUAGGCUGAGGGGCUUACAAUUGCUGUAUGCCUCCAGCCUACAAGGCUCCUGUCAGCUUUCUCAGGGUUGUGCCUGAGUGGGGCUGGCCCUAGCCAUGGGAGCACUCAAUUGUUUCAGGUUUUGGAAGGUGGGGCCAAUCCCCUAUGUAGCUGUCUGAGAAGAACAAGUCUUUUGCCACUGGCAAGCCCCACCACCCACAGGGCCACACAAUCUGUCAACAGAGUCCUGCCCCACGUGUACAACCUCACCCACUGAAGCAGACCCAGUUGUCCCAGUGCAGAGGCCCCACACAUUCCACCAGUGCCUGACACACUCCACCUGUUCUUUGUGCGUGCCCUUCCCCUCAGAGGUGGACACACUUACUGGGCUACAGAGGAUCCAGGCACCCAGCUAUGCAUGCCCACAAGUUGCUUGAGGGCUUGCUGUUGGGUGGUGCCAGGCUUUAGGGCAGGCUGCUUGCCCCAGCUGAGCUGAAUUAAAUUGGCUCCCUAGUGCACAGGGCAAAUCCUGGGUUGACAGGCCAGUGGAAGAACACCAAUGACAUCUGCCAGCAUCUGUGUCAGUAAGCCUGAACUAGGUCACAAUAAUGGCUGACGCCAAUGUCUCAGUCCCUGGAGAAGUCUCACCUCUCACUGAGAUGCACCCAGAGCCUAUUAGGAAGAUUCGCCCUGAUCUAAAAUCUGCUGCCAAUCCUCCUCUUUUUUGCUGAGGAAGACCAGCCCUGAGCUAACAUCUGUGCCCAUCUUCCUCUAUUUCACGUGGGACGCCUGCCACAGCACGGCUUGAUAAGCGAAUGCACACACAUUGUUGGAGCAGUCACUCCAAAGCCAGUGUAAAGCCAGUGCAAGGCAGAAAAGCUGAAAUGGACGGAAGUGUUCAGUACGUGUGAAGCCAAGAUUUGGGAGUGGCCACCUGAAGAGUCACCUGUCAGCAGCCCCACUCAGCUUCCCUGUUUGCUGGCCCCCAGUUGGCAGCACCUUGGGCUGAGUGAGCUCCAUGGGAACUGGGAAGAGGAAUUCCUCCAGAAAUUCCACAGGCCCCUUCUGUAAUGGACAGUGCCUGUUCUGCAACUGGCUGCUGAGCUAGACAUCCAGGAGGUAGAACAGUUUUCUUGUUGUCCUCAGUACCCUGUAGAUGAGCAGCGAGUGCUCAUUAUCUUCAGUGUGCUCACUGCCUGCAAGACAGUGGAGUUUGAGUCCAUUUUAUGGUCUCCCUCAGAGAAGCCAGGGACGAGUCCACUUUAAUCUGGCGGUGACUGGCCAAAGAGUGCCUGGAAGCUGUAAGCCCC